Molecule: ribosomal RNA, 401 nt
Filed under: Neogloboquadrina pachyderma
Lineage: Eukaryota; Foraminifera; Rotaliida; Globorotaliidae
Description: bacterial SSU rRNA
Rfam family: Eukaryotic small subunit ribosomal RNA
Source: RNAcentral
AAUUUGACUCAACGCGGGAAAUCUUACCGGGUCCGGACACACUGAGGAUUGACAGGCAAUAUCUCAUGGUUAUUAACCGUAAUGGUUAUUUAUUUAAUAGCCAGCGGUUAAUUAGCAUCGAGGUUAAAUAUGCUAGUCCUUUCAUGAUUAUGUGAUAGGUGGUGCAUGGCCGUUCUUAGUUCGUGGAGGAUCUGUCUGCUUAAUUGCGUUCACUAAGGGCCCAUAAAUUCAAGGAUGUUACUAUCGUCCUCUAUGGACCCUUAUUCACUGCUUUAAUUAGUUUGUUUAAGCGCGCGUCUUUAUUUAAGAGUUUAAGACACUGCGCAUGCUGUUGGGCUCUGAAAGCAACGAACGUGACCGCAACGUCUUGUUGCCUUAAUAAAGUGGCUUUAAAUACGAAU